RNAcentral lists this ribosomal RNA (523 nucleotides) under uncultured Gammaproteobacteria bacterium. Its description in RNAcentral is "bacterial SSU rRNA". It matches the Rfam family "Bacterial small subunit ribosomal RNA", at positions 9 to 523 of the family's 1533-position model. Lineage: Bacteria; Pseudomonadati; Pseudomonadota; Gammaproteobacteria. The record is from RNAcentral.
GAGUUUGAUCAUGGCUCAGAUUGAACGCUGGCGGUAUGCUUAACACAUGCAAGUCGAACGGUAACAUAGAGAGCUUGCUCUCUGAUGACGAGUGGCGGACGGGUGAGUAACGCGUGGGAAUCUACCCAUUAGUCGGGGAUAACCUGGUGAAAACCAGGCUAAUACCGGAUGUGGUCUACGGACUAAAGCAGGGGAUCUUCGGACCUUGCGCUAUUGGAUGAGCCCGCGUUAGAUUAGCUAGAUGGUGGGGUAAUGGCCUACCAUGGCGACGAUCUAUAGCUGGUCUGAGAGGACGAUCAGCCACACUGGGACUGAGACACGGCCCAGACUCCUACGGGAGGCAGCAGUGGGGAAUAUUGGACAAUGGGCGCAAGCCUGAUCCAGCAAUACCGCGUGUGUGAAGAAGGCCCGAGGGUUGUAAAGCACUUUCAAUUGUGAAGAAAAGUUAUCGGUUAAUACCCGAUAGCCUUGACGUUAACUUUAGAAGAAGCACCGGCUAACUCCGUGCCAGCAGCCGCGGUGC